RNAcentral lists this ribosomal RNA (292 nucleotides) under uncultured bacterium. RNAcentral describes it as "partial 16S ribosomal RNA". It matches the Rfam family "Bacterial small subunit ribosomal RNA", at positions 773 to 1060 of the family's 1533-position model. The record is from RNAcentral.
GUGGAUUAGAUACCCUGGUAGUCCACGCCGUAAACGAUGGGCACUAGGUGUCGCGGGUAUUGACCCCUGCGGUGCCGUAGCUAACGCAUUAAGUGCCCCGCCUGGGGAGUACGGCCGCAAGGCUAAAACUCAAAGGAAUUGACGGGGGCCCGCACAAGCGGUGGAGCAUGUGGUUUAAUUCGACGCAACGCGAAGAACCUUACCUGGGUUUGACAUCCCGAUCGUACUCCAUGGAAACAUGGGGGUCAGUUCGGCUGGAUCGGUGACAGGUGCUGCACGGCUGUCGUCAGCU